Molecule: ribosomal RNA, 433 nt
Filed under: uncultured bacterium
Lineage: Bacteria
Description: partial 16S ribosomal RNA
Rfam family: Bacterial small subunit ribosomal RNA
Source: RNAcentral
AACGAACGCUGGCGGCAUGCCUAACACAUGCAAGUCGAACGAGACCUUCGGGUCUAGUGGCGCACGGGUGCGUAACGCGUGGGAACCUGCCCUUAGGUUCGGAAUAACUCCCCGAAAGGGGUGCUAAUACCGGAUAAUGUCUUCGGACCAAAGAUUUAUCGCCUUUGGAUGGGCCCGCGUUGGAUUAGCUAGUUGGUAGGGUAAAAGCCUACCAAGGCGACGAUCCAUAGCUGGUCUGAGAGGAUGAUCAGCCACACUGGGACUGAGACACGGCCCAGACUCCUACGGGAGGCAGCAGUGGGGAAUAUUGGACAAUGGGCGAAAGGCUGAUCCAGCAAAGCCGCGUGAGUGAUGAAGGCCUUAGGGUUGUAAAGCUCUUUUACCCGGGAUGAUAAUGACAGUACCGGGAGAAUAAGCUCCGGCUAACUCCGUG